Molecule: ribosomal RNA, 44 nt
Filed under: Gymnopilus subearlei
Lineage: Eukaryota; Fungi; Basidiomycota; Agaricomycetes; Agaricales; Galerinaceae
Description: partial 28S ribosomal RNA
Source: RNAcentral
AUUGCGCUGCUUCUAAUCGUCCUCUUAGGACAAUUAUUGACCAU